Molecule: ribosomal RNA, 429 nt
Filed under: uncultured Luteolibacter sp.
Lineage: Bacteria; Pseudomonadati; Verrucomicrobiota; Verrucomicrobiia; Verrucomicrobiales; Verrucomicrobiaceae
Description: bacterial SSU rRNA
Rfam family: Bacterial small subunit ribosomal RNA
Source: RNAcentral
UCGAGAAUAAUUCACAAUGGGGGCAACCCUGAUGGUGCAACGCCGCGUGGAGGAUGAAGGUCUUCGGAUUGUAAACUCCUGUCAUCCGGGAGCAAGACCUGGCCGUGAAUAGCGGACAGGGUUGAUAGUACCGGAAGAGGAAGGGACGGCUAACUUCGUGCCAGCAGCCGCGGUAAUACGAAGGUCCCGAGCGUUGUUCGGAAUCACUGGGCGUAAAGGGAGCGUAGGCGGCGUGGUAAGUCAGAUGUGAAAUCCCGGGGCUCAACCCCGGAACUGCAUCCGAUACUGCCGUGCUAGAGGAUUGGAGAGGUAGCUGGAAUUCACGGUGUAGCAGUGAAAUGCGUGGAUAUCGUGAGGAACACUCGUGGCGAAAGCGAGCUACUGGACAACUCCUGACGCUGAGGCUCGAAGGCCAGGGUAGCGAAAGGG